RNAcentral lists this ribosomal RNA (660 nucleotides) under uncultured bacterium. RNAcentral describes it as "bacterial SSU rRNA". It matches the Rfam family "Bacterial small subunit ribosomal RNA", at positions 94 to 788 of the family's 1533-position model. The record is from RNAcentral.
AGUGGCGGACGGGUGAGUAACGCGUGAGAAUCUGCCUCAAGGAUGGGGACAACAGUUGGAAACGACUGCUAAUACCCAAUAUGCCUAUUUGGUGAAAUUAUUUAGCCUUGAGAGGAGCUCGCGUCCGAUUAGUUAGUUGGUGGGGUAAAGGCCUACCAAGGCAGCGAUCGGUAGCUGGUCUGAGAGGAUGAGCAGCCACACUGGGACUGAGACACGGCCCAGACUCCUACGGGAGGCAGCAGUGGGGAAUUUUCCGCAAUGGGCGAAAGCCUGACGGAGCAAUACCGCGUGAGGGAGGAAGGUUUUUGGAUUGUAAACCUCUUUUUUAAAGGAAGAAGAAAGUGACGGUACUUUAAGAAUAAGCAUCGGCUAACUCCGUGCCAGCAGCCGCGGUAAUACGGAGGAUGCAAGCGUUAUCCGGAAUCAUUGGGCGUAAAGCGUCCGCAGGUGGCGAAUCAAGUCUGCUGUUAAAGACAGAAGCUCAACUUCUGAACAGCGGUGGAAACUGGUUUGCUAGAGUAUGGUAGGGGUUGAGGGAAUUCCCAGUUAGCGGUGAAAUGCGUAGAUAUUGGGAAGAACACCAGUGGCGAAGGCGCUCAACUGGGCCAUAACUGACACUCAGGGACGAAAGCUAGGGUAGCGAAAGGGAUUAGAUACCCC